Molecule: ribosomal RNA, 441 nt
Filed under: uncultured bacterium
Lineage: Bacteria
Description: partial 16S ribosomal RNA
Rfam family: Bacterial small subunit ribosomal RNA
Source: RNAcentral
CCUACGUUCUUCCGCCGUUUUUGCUAUUGCCCCAUGGGGGGAACCCUGAUGCAGCGACGCCGCGUGGGUGAAGGAGCGUUUCGGCGCGUAAAGCCCUAUCGGCAGGGAAGAAGGAGGACGGUACCUGACUAAGAAGCCCCGGCUAACUACGUGCCAGCAGCCGCGGUAAUACGUAGGGGGCAAGCGUUAUCCGGAUUUACUGGGUGUAAUGGGGGCGCAGACGGCAGCGCAAGCCAGGAGUGAAGGCCCGGGGCCCAACCCCGGGACUGCUCUUGGAACUGCGCGGCUGGAGUGCAGGAGGGGCAGGCGGAAUUCCUGGUGUAGCGGUGAAAUGCGUAGAUAUCAGGAGGAACACCGGUGGCGAAGGCGGCCUGCUGGACUGCGACUGACGUUGAGGCCCGAAAGCGUGGGGAGCAAACAGGAUUAGAUACCCUGGUAGUC